This 428-nucleotide ribosomal RNA is filed under the name uncultured prokaryote. Its description in RNAcentral is "bacterial SSU rRNA". It matches the Rfam family "Bacterial small subunit ribosomal RNA", at positions 355 to 796 of the family's 1533-position model. The record is from RNAcentral.
CAAGGAAUUUUCCACAAUGGGCGCAAGCCUGAUGGAGCAACGCCGCGUGGGGGAGGACGCCCUUCGGGGUGUAAACCCCUUUUUCGAGGGACGAAGCAGAUGACGGUACCUCGGGUAAUCAGGCCCGGCUAACUACGUGCCAGCAGCCGCGGUAAGACGUAGGGGCCGAGCGUUGUCCGGAGUUACUGGGCGUAAAGGGCGCGCAGGCGGUGGUCCGCGUCGGCGGUGAAAGUCCCCCGCUCAACGGGGGAGGGUCCGUCGAAACGGGAUCACUCGAGGCAGGGCGAGGUCGGUGGAAUUCCCGGUGUAGUGGUGAAAUGCGUAGAUAUCGGGAGGAACACCAGUGGCGCAGGCGACCGACUGGACCUGACCUGACGCUGAGGCGCGAAGGCGUGGGGAGCGAACGGGAUUAGAUACCCGCGUAGUCC